AGAGUUUGAUUAUGGCUCAGGAUGAACGCUAGCGGCAGGCCUAACACAUGCAAGUCGAGGGGUAGAACACUUCGGUGUUUGAGACCGGCGCACGGGUGCGUAACGCGUAUGCAAUCUACCUUAUACAGGGGAAUAGCCCAGAGAAAUUUGGAUUAAUGCCCCAUAGUGUUAUAGAAUCGCAUGGUUUUAUAACUAAAGUUCCAACGGUAUAAGAUGAGCAUGCGUCCCAUUAGUUAGUUGGUAAGGUAACAGCUUACCAAGACAAUGAUGGGUAGGGGUCCUGAGAGGGAGAUCCCCCACACUGGUACUGAGACACGGACCAGACUCCUACGGGAGGCAGCAGUGUGGAAUAUUGGUCAAUGGGCGCAAGCCUGAACCAGCCAUGCCGCGUGCAGGAAGAAGCAUCUAUGGUGUGUAAACUGC
RNAcentral lists this ribosomal RNA (423 nucleotides) under uncultured bacterium MK17. Its description in RNAcentral is "bacterial SSU rRNA". It matches the Rfam family "Bacterial small subunit ribosomal RNA", at positions 8 to 433 of the family's 1533-position model. Lineage: Bacteria; Pseudomonadati; Bacteroidota. The record is from RNAcentral.